Molecule: long non-coding RNA, 213 nt
Filed under: Mytilus galloprovincialis (Mediterranean mussel)
Lineage: Eukaryota; Metazoa; Mollusca; Bivalvia; Mytilida; Mytilidae
Source: RNAcentral
CCUUGAACAAUGUUGAAACCAUAACAAAAAUGGCUGAAGUAUAUCUUUUACUACAGGACUUGAUAACACAAACAGAAGAUGACAGCAUUGAUAAGCUUUAUCAGAUUCACAAGAGUGUCUCAAAAAGAAAGCUAGUUUUCUCAGUUGUAUCAUGCUUGGCAGCUAAACGUAGACACAUCGCCAGGGUGGAAAAUUAUGUUGAAAAUGUUAUCC